RNAcentral lists this ribosomal RNA (487 nucleotides) under Holothuria scabra. Its description in RNAcentral is "partial 16S ribosomal RNA". It matches the Rfam family "Bacterial large subunit ribosomal RNA", at positions 1862 to 2619 of the family's 2925-position model. Lineage: Eukaryota; Metazoa; Echinodermata; Holothuroidea; Aspidochirotida; Holothuriidae. The record is from RNAcentral.
CCCAGUGGCUUUAGCUAAACGGCCGCGGUAUCUUGACCGUGCAAAGGUAGCAUAAUCAUUUGUCUUUUAAAUGGAGACUUGUAUGAACGGCAAAACCUUUUUCAACUGUCUCCCUCUCUAACCUUACAAAUUUCUACCUUUGUGAAGAAGCAAAGAUCAAAAAGAAAGACGAGAAGACCCUGUCGAGCUUUAGUUUCAAGAUGAACCUCUACUAUCAUCCCAGGACUUUGGUUGGGGCAACCAUGGAGAAAAAGAAUCCUCCAGACCGAAUAGAAGAAUACACCUCUCUAUUAAACAUUUAGAGAACCAGAAACUGGUAAUCGGAAAAAGUUACCGCAGGGAUAACAGCGUCAUCUCCUCUAAGAGUCCUUAUUGACGAGGAGGUUUGCGACCUCGAUGUUGGAUUAGGGCAUCCUUUGGGUGCAGAAGCUCUAAACGGUUAGACUGUUCGUCUAUUAAAGCCCUACGUGAUCUGAGUUCAGACCGG